UCAGCUUAACUACAGAAAGCCAAAAGAAAACAGAAGGCAAAACCCAAAACAAAUGGACCCCUCUUAGGCAUGACAUUUUGCAUAAGCUGGUAUUAGAAGAAUGAAUCACAAAAUAUCAACAAAAUCACUCACAAAUUGUAUACAGCAAAAGCAGUUCCAGGCUUUCCUACUCCUCCGGUCCUAAUACAGUUACCAACCACUGCAUUUUUUUCUGCAUGACUUGGCAAUGUUGUCUUUGUUGGCUCUUCCCUGUGUGGAGGUAUCAGGGUCAGGCUUACUUAUUCCAUUUGCCAGAAGAGAAAACAAGCCACAAAAGACAGAGUGACUGCCCAGGGUCAUCCCUCAGGCUGACACAGCUUUGGAAAUAAAUAUGAGUUUCCUGAAUCCCAGCCCAAUGUUCUGUCCUCAGCAAUAAAUGAAUGGUCAUCUUAACCACCAGAGGACAACAUUACCCAAUCACUUGCAUGUCUCUGAAACUGAAGGCCCUCUGGAAAACACAAGGUAUUUGCAUUUCAGUGGUCUCUGCAGUGUCUGACACUUCCAGUGUUUGUAAAGUCAUUUUUUAAUGAAAUGUAGUGAUUACCUAGACAGAAAUGGAUUACCUCCAUAAUUAGUUGUAACAAAAUUUACCACUCAGAUGCUUUCCUACAUAUUAAUAUGGUUUUGAAACUUUCACUCUGGAGACUUGUUCUUGAUAGGUUUGGUAUCUAGUCAAUAUUUUAUAGGCAAGAUUUUAAUUCAAUAAUACUUUAAGUGCAACAACAAAUUUGACAAAUGAAGCAUCCGUGUGAAAUAUACAAAUUAAAUUCUACAUGGAGAAGGCAAAUCUGAGGCUGUCUGAGCAGAGAUUAUAACAGCAGUAUGAUUUUAGACAUAACACUGAUGAAACUUUUGGAAAAUAUCCUUCCUUUCUUCAUGAGAAAGUAACUUGUAGGCAGAUGUCUACACAUCUUUAAAGUCUGGAGACUCGAUUUCUUUACAGAGUAAUUACUAGAUAACAAAAUUUUAAUCACUGUCUGGACCAUUAAACUUUGGUAAAGGUGACUGAAAUGAUCUCAGGGGAACCAAGAGCUUGUUUAGAACAGGGAUAUUAAGCAGCAGUAAUGAAGUAACACAGCGGGAGUGUGAGUCCCAAGAGAAAAUAUGUUACAAUGACAAUGUUUAUUACACAUCUCAAUUACUUUGUACUAUGCACUUCAGCUUUCUGCAAUAGAAAUCUACCACUGCUUCAGAUCUCCAGAAGCCUGAAGCGCUACAGAGGUGUCCUGAGUGCCUUCUCUGGUCCUGAGACCAGGUGGCACAGUCUAGUCAUAUCCAUACUGAA
Molecule: long non-coding RNA, 1324 nt
Organism: Chiroxiphia lanceolata (lance-tailed manakin)
Lineage: Eukaryota; Metazoa; Chordata; Aves; Passeriformes; Pipridae
Exons: 3
Source: RefSeq, a predicted model, not a curated record